UACGUAGGGUGCAAGCGUUGUCCGGAAUUAUUGGGCGUAAAGAGCUCGUAGGCGGUUUGUCGCGUCUGCUGUGAAAACUCGGGGCUUAACUCCGGGCGUGCAGUGGGUACGGGCAGACUAGAGUGCGGUAGGGGAGACUGGAAUUCCUGGUGUAGCGGUGAAAUGCGCAGAUAUCAGGAGGAACACCGGUGGCGAAGGCGGGUCUCUGGGCCGUAACUGACGCUGAGGAGCGAAAGCGUGGGGAGCGAACAGG
Molecule: ribosomal RNA, 253 nt
Filed under: uncultured bacterium
Lineage: Bacteria
Description: partial 16S ribosomal RNA
Rfam family: Bacterial small subunit ribosomal RNA
Source: RNAcentral